ACUACGGGCGGCUGUAGUGGGGAAUAUUGCGCAAUGGGCGAAAGCCUGACGCAGCGACGCCGCGUGAGGGAUGAAGGUCUUCGGAUCGUAAACCUCUGUCAGCAGGGAAGAACGGUCACUGUGCUAAUCAGCAGUGAAUUGACGGUACCUGCAAAGGAAGCACCGGCUAACUCCGUGCCAGCAGCCGCGGUAAUACGGAGGGUGCGAGCGUUAAUCGGAAUUACUGGGCGUAAAGCGCUCGUAGGCGGUAUGUCAAGUCAAGGGUGAAAUCCCCGCGCUCAACGUGGGAACUGCCGUUGAAACUGGCAAACUGGAGUGUGUGAGAGGAUAGUGGAAUUCCAGGUGUAGGAGUGAAAUCCGUAGAUAUCUGGAGGAACAUCAGUGGCGAAGGCGACUAUCUGGCACAUAACUGACGCUGAGGAGCGAAAGCGUGGGUAGCAAACAGGAUUAGAUACCCUUGUAGUC
This 465-nucleotide ribosomal RNA is filed under the name uncultured bacterium. RNAcentral's name for it is "partial 16S ribosomal RNA". It matches the Rfam family "Bacterial small subunit ribosomal RNA", at positions 338 to 795 of the family's 1533-position model. The record is from RNAcentral.